RNAcentral lists this ribosomal RNA (2760 nucleotides) under Escherichia coli. Its description in RNAcentral is "partial 23S ribosomal RNA". It matches the Rfam family "Bacterial large subunit ribosomal RNA". Lineage: Bacteria; Pseudomonadati; Pseudomonadota; Gammaproteobacteria; Enterobacterales; Enterobacteriaceae. The record is from RNAcentral.
UUCGUCACACUAUCAUUAACUGAAUCCAUAGGUUAAUGAGGCGAACCGGGGGAACUGAAACAUCUAAGUACCCCGAGGAAAAGAAAUCAACCGAGAUUCCCCCAGUAGCGGCGAGCGAACGGGGAGCAGCCCAGAGCCUGAAUCAGUGUGUGUGUUAGUGGAAGCGUCUGGAAAGGCGCGCGAUACAGGGUGACAGCCCCGUACACAAAAAUGCACAUACUGUGAGCUCGAUGAGUAGGGCGGGACACGUGGUAUCCUGUCUGAAUAUGGGGGGACCAUCCUCCAAGGCUAAAUACUCCUGACUGACCGAUAGUGAACCAGUACCGUGAGGGAAAGGCGAAAAGAACCCCGGCGAGGGGAGUGAAAAAGAACCUGAAACCGUGUACGUACAAGCAGUGGGAGCACAGAGCAAUCUGUGUGACUGCGUACCUUUUGUAUAAUGGGUCAGCGACUUAUAUUCUGUAGCAAGGUUAACCGAAUAGGGGAGCCGAAGGGAAACCGAGUCUUAACUGGGCGUUAAGUUGCAGGGUAUAGACCCGAAACCCGGUGAUCUAGCCAUGGGCAGGUUGAAGGUUGGGUAACACUAACUGGAGGACCGAACCGACUAAUGUUGAAAAAUUAGCGGAUGACUUGUGGCUGGGGGUGAAAGGCCAAUCAAACCGGGAGAUAGCUGGUUCUCCCCGAAAGCUAUUUAGGUAGCGCCUCGUGAAUUCAUCUCCGGGGGUAGAGCACUGUUUCGGCAAGGGGGUCAUCCCGACUUACCAACCCGAUGCAAACUGCGAAUACCGGAGAAUGUUAUCACGGGAGACACACGGCGGGUGCUAACGUCCGUCGUGAAGAGGGAAACAACCCAGACCGCCAGCUAAGGUCCCAAAGUCAUGGUUAAGUGGGAAACGAUGUGGGAAGGCCCAGACAGCCAGGAUGUUGGCUUAGAAGCAGCCAUCAUUUAAAGAAAGCGUAAUAGCUCACUGGUCGAGUCGGCCUGCGCGGAAGAUGUAACGGGGCUAAACCAUGCACCGAAGCUGCGGCAGCGACGCUUAUGCGUUGUUGGGUAGGGGAGCGUUCUGUAAGCCUGUGAAGGUGUACUGUGAGGUAUGCUGGAGGUAUCAGAAGUGCGAAUGCUGACAUAAGUAACGAUAAAGCGGGUGAAAAGCCCGCUCGCCGGAAGACCAAGGGUUCCUGUCCAACGUUAAUCGGGGCAGGGUGAGUCGACCCCUAAGGCGAGGCCGAAAGGCGUAGUCGAUGGGAAACAGGUUAAUAUUCCUGUACUUGGUGUUACUGCGAAGGGGGGACGGAGAAGGCUAUGUUGGCCGGGCGACGGUUGUCCCGGUUUAAGCGUGUAGGCUGGUUUUCCAGGCAAAUCCGGAAAAUCAAGGCUGAGGCGUGAUGACGAGGCACUACGGUGCUGAAGCAACAAAUGCCCUGCUUCCAGGAAAAGCCUCUAAGCAUCAGGUAACAUCAAAUCGUACCCCAAACCGACACAGGUGGUCAGGUAGAGAAUACCAAGGCGCUUGAGAGAACUCGGGUGAAGGAACUAGGCAAAAUGGUGCCGUAACUUCGGGAGAAGGCACGCUGAUAUGUAGGUGAAGCGACUUGCUCGUGGAGCUGAAAUCAGUCGAAGAUACCAGCUGGCUGCAACUGUUUAUUAAAAACACAGCACUGUGCAAACACGAAAGUGGACGUAUACGGUGUGACGCCUGCCCGGUGCCGGAAGGUUAAUUGAUGGGGUCAGCGCAAGCGAAGCUCUUGAUCGAAGCCCCGGUAAACGGCGGCCGUAACUAUAACGGUCCUAAGGUAGCGAAAUUCCUUGUCGGGUAAGUUCCGACCUGCACGAAUGGCGUAAUGAUGGCCAGGCUGUCUCCACCCGAGACUCAGUGAAAUUGAACUCGCUGUGAAGAUGCAGUGUACCCGCGGCAAGACGGAAAGACCCCGUGAACCUUUACUAUAGCUUGACACUGAACAUUGAGCCUUGAUGUGUAGGAUAGGUGGGAGGCUUUGAAGUGUGGACGCCAGUCUGCAUGGAGCCGACCUUGAAAUACCACCCUUUAAUGUUUGAUGUUCUAACGUUGACCCGUAAUCCGGGUUGCGGACAGUGUCUGGUGGGUAGUUUGACUGGGGCGGUCUCCUCCUAAAGAGUAACGGAGGAGCACGAAGGUUGGCUAAUCCUGGUCGGACAUCAGGAGGUUAGUGCAAUGGCAUAAGCCAGCUUGACUGCGAGCGUGACGGCGCGAGCAGGUGCGAAAGCAGGUCAUAGUGAUCCGGUGGUUCUGAAUGGAAGGGCCAUCGCUCAACGGAUAAAAGGUACUCCGGGGAUAACAGGCUGAUACCGCCCAAGAGUUCAUAUCGACGGCGGUGUUUGGCACCUCGAUGUCGGCUCAUCACAUCCUGGGGCUGAAGUAGGUCCCAAGGGUAUGGCUGUUCGCCAUUUAAAGUGGUACGCGAGCUGGGUUUAGAACGUCGUGAGACAGUUCGGUCCCUAUCUGCCGUGGGCGCUGGAGAACUGAGGGGGGCUGCUCCUAGUACGAGAGGACCGGAGUGGACGCAUCACUGGUGUUCGGGUUGUCAUGCCAAUGGCACUGCCCGGUAGCUAAAUGCGGAAGAGAUAAGUGCUGAAAGCAUCUAAGCACGAAACUUGCCCCGAGAUGAGUUCUCCCUGACUCCUUGAGAGUCCUGAAGGAACGUUGAAGACGACGACGUUGAUAGGCCGGGUGUGUAAGCGCAGCGAUGCGUUGAGCUAACCGGUACUAAUGAACCGUGAGG